This 323-nucleotide long non-coding RNA is filed under the name Gossypium barbadense (sea-island cotton). RNAcentral's name for it is "long non-coding RNA (GBAR_LNC005391)". Lineage: Eukaryota; Viridiplantae; Streptophyta; Magnoliopsida; Malvales; Malvaceae. The record is from RNAcentral.
AAUGAAAGAAAACAAAUAUUUAUAGGCACAUAGAUGACCAUUCAAAUUCGGCAUCUAGGUGUUCACACAAUAAUAAAAAACAUUCACACUAAUGUAUUAAAAUAGUUCAUAAAUUCGGCAGAUUCAUGCACUAGUUGAAUGGACACUUUCUUCCCCCUAAGUGUGUGCAUGAAUGCUUAGUCAUAAAGAAAGGCUUCAAGUGACUUGUAUGUGCACCAAAGGUUGCAUUCAUCUCCUUGGGAUGUUCAUGCACUUGUAUGGAACAUGUAUCUUCAUAAUUAAACACUUUAAUUCAUAAAUGGCAGCAUGAACCUAGUAAAUUC